AUGGGUGCCUACGCUGCGGGGAGCUGCCGCGAUAAGUUCACAACCGUCUACACCUUGGUGCUAAUGGCCACUGGGAUCCUCACCUACUUCAUAGUCCAGGCGGUGGUGGCGCGGCGUGCAAAGUUUCCUCCUCUUCCAGCAGACCCAGACAAGAACAAGGUCCAACUCGAAGAGCGGCUCCGCAAGGUGCUGAUGCUGCUCACAACGUUCGUGUUAAGCAUCACGUACGAGUCUGGGCUGAACUCACCGGGCGGUUUCUGGGACAACACCGGGGGCGGGCACCGCGCGGGAGACUCGAUUCUCAGCGAUGGUCACCACAAGGCACGCCUGGUCACCUUCUUCAUCUGCAACUCCACAGCGUUCAUGGCAUCACUGCUAAUCAUCAUGCUGCUCCUGAGCAGAAAGCUUCACCAGCAGACGGCACGGUCUCGCGAGAUGUAUGGGUGCAUCCUAGUCGCGCUGGCCGGCCUUGUCGGGGCAUACGCUGCAGGCAGCUGCAGGGAGGAUGGCGCUACUGCCUAUGUGCUCAUUGUGGUUGCUGCCAGUCUAGCAUGCAUUCUAGUCAAAUCUUGGUUGUGGCCUCAAGAUAAUUACAGGCAGCGGGUUUCAACAGAGAUUGAGAUUUCAGGUGUGGAGCUUCAGCAGAGUCACAAGUCUCUCUCGCUUCUUCUACUAAUGUCCACCUUUGCGACGGCUAUCACUUACCAAGCAGGGCUUGAUCCGCCCGGUGGCGUUUGGCAGGAAAACGGUAACGGUCGCCUCGCCGGCGACCCGAUCCUCUUGUCGAUGAAUGCUAGCCGGUACAGGACCUUCUUGUACUGCAAUUCAUUUGCGUUCAUGCUCUCCUUGGUCACCAUCAUCAUGUUCCUGUCCAAGUUUGUCAGGGGCCUAGGGGCACACAAGGUGGAGGCAGUUAUGAUGCUGGAAUUGUUCGGCCUCAUCGGCGCAUACACUGCUGGGGUCAGCAAGAAUGUAAUCACGUCCAUCUAUGUCCUGGCUUUGGGCGGCGCCGUCAUAUUCUACGUUGUGAUCCAUGUUAUCUUCUUCACACUCGAAAAAGAGGCCAUCAAUUUUUAUGUGGAGCAAGAGGAGGUGGAGAAGAAGCGCAAGCUGCUUUACCUCUUGGCAACCUUGUCGACAGCUAUGAGUUACCAUGCCGGGUUGAACCCUCCAGGUGGCUACCGUGUCCAGGAUGACGAUGAGUCUGGGUAUCAGGCAGGCAGCCCGGUCGUCCUGCCCAACUUCCCGCGGCGCUACAGUGCCUUCUUGUUCUGCAGCUCAUUAAGCUUCAUGCUUUCGGUCAGCACCAUGAUUCUCCUGGUGAGCCCGGUGCUGUACAGGCCAGCCAUACGAAGCUACGCACUAACCCUUUGCACGGCUGUGGGGUCGUCUGUUCUGAUGGGUGCCUAUGUCGUUGGGAGCACACAAUAUGUGAAAACAUACGUUAUGAUUGUAGCUGGGCUGCUGGUAACAUUCUUGGUCAGGGAUACUAAGCAGAGAUUGAGCAGGCUGAUGAGGGUAGAAGCACACGAAGAGGACCCCAUCAUGAUAAAUGCCCAGGAAGGGGAGCUCGUAUUUAAACGAGCAAAGAAAAAGCAACACGCCGAGCACAAACACCUGAUGUUGCUAGGAAUCCUGGUGGUACCAGGCCGGCCUAGAUCCGCCAGGCGGAGUUUGGCAGAGCGACGAAGGCGGGCACGACCCAGGUGGGCCGGCCAUGAAGGACAAUAG
This 1731-nucleotide ribosomal RNA is filed under the name Triticum aestivum (bread wheat). Its description in RNAcentral is "partial small subunit ribosomal RNA". Lineage: Eukaryota; Viridiplantae; Streptophyta; Magnoliopsida; Poales; Poaceae. The record is from RNAcentral.